Molecule: ribosomal RNA, 325 nt
Filed under: uncultured eukaryote
Lineage: Eukaryota
Description: partial 18S ribosomal RNA
Rfam family: Eukaryotic small subunit ribosomal RNA
Source: RNAcentral
CCCUUAGAUGUUCUGGGCCGCACGCGCGCUACACUGAUGCAUUCAACGAGCCUAUCCUUGACCGACAGGUCCGGGUAAUCUUUGAAUCUGCAUCGUGACGGGGAUAGAUUAUUGCAAUUAUUAAUCUUCAACGAGGAAUGCCUAGUAGGCGCAAGUCAUCAGCUUGCGUCGAUUACGUCCCUGCCCUUUGUACACACCGCCCGUCGCUCCUACCGAUUGGGUGUGCUGGUGAAAUGUUCGGAUCGGCCGUUUGUCGCGGUUUCCGCGUCAUGUGGCUGAGAAGGUCAUUAAACCCUCCCACCUAGAGGAAGGAGAAGUCGUAACA